This 260-nucleotide ribosomal RNA is filed under the name uncultured archaeon. RNAcentral describes it as "partial 16S ribosomal RNA". It matches the Rfam family "Archaeal small subunit ribosomal RNA", at positions 748 to 1009 of the family's 1478-position model. The record is from RNAcentral.
CAGCCGUAAACUAUGCUCGCUAGGUGUCAGGCAUGGCGCGACCGUGUCUGGUGCCGCAGGGAAGCCGUGAAGCGAGCCACCUGGGAAGUACGGCCGCAAGGCUGAACUUAAAGGAAUUGGCGGGGGAGCACAACAACGGGUGGAGCCUGCGGUUUAAUUGGACUCAACGCCGGACAACUCACCGGGGACGACAGCAAUAUGUAGGCCAGGCUGAAGACCUUGCCUGAAUCGCUGAGAGGAGGUGCAUGGCGUAGACGUCU